AGAGGACUGACUGCAGUGGAUCAGAAUGGAUUAGAAAAGGCAGGGACAAAAGCGCGGGCUUCAAGUUCAUCUUGGCAAGAGGUGUUGGUGGCCUGAAGGAGCAGUGAGAAUGGAGAAUGGUGGAUGGAAUCCAGAUAUUUUGGGAAGUAGAAUAUAUAGGACUUGGUUUUUGCCUGGAUGUAGGGAGGAAGAGAGGGAGAGGUAAAAACAAAUUCUGAAUUCUCAGAAUUCUGGUUUGGGCAGCUGUGGGUUUCUUCAUUGACAGAAGAAACACAAGAGCAGGUUUUGGGGCUGGUGUCUGUGGAAAAUGCGUUCACUUUAGGACAUACUGAGCCUGAAGUUCAGCUGAUGAAAGGAGCAGCUUGAGAAGGCCUUCACUGUGGAAUUUGGCUUAUGAGAUUUGAUACAUGCUCACUGCAAAAAUGAAAUUAAAAUCUAGAAGUGUGUAAUAGAAGAAGUAAGUCCUCACUCUCAUCUUAUAACGCAGGCCCUCCAGGACCAGUUCAACUGACCCCAUCUCUUAUCAACAGAGUGAUUAAGAAUUGCCUUUCAUCUCCUGCUGGACACUGGCCCAGCCUUGCCAUGUUAAAAAGAAAUCCAAAAUGAAAAAAAAUGAGAAUUGCCUUUCAGAAAAUCUGCAGAAUCAUGUAGCCAGGGCACACACAAAAGAAGAAACGUGACCUGCAACUACCGUGGAAACAAAGAUCCUCCUUCCCACAGAACCCAAGGACUGGGACACGACCGGAACUUGGCAAUGGACUCUUAUCAGAAGCGAGGGAUCCCUCAUUCAGAAGAUCUGGUGUUAAAAUUCCUUCCCCACCUCAUCAAAAAUGUUUAGAACCCUGUUAGAAAUAUUUAGAACCUCAUCAUAAAGGCUUGAAGCCCACCGGUCAAAGCCUGUCCCACCAGCAUUUCUGCAUGCCAACCUGUCUGUCCUCCAUAACCUUUUAAAUUUUGCCCCAAAUCCUGAAUUGGGGAGACAGAUCUGAGGGCACAUGCCCCCUGUUCUCCCUGCAGAUCAAUUUCGCACAGUAAAACUGACCUCUUUCCCCAAAGGCUGAUGCUGUAAUUAAUCAGUUUGUUUAUGUGCAUCGGGCAGUGAACCCCAACUUUGUGCGGUAACAGUCUC
RNAcentral lists this long non-coding RNA (1129 nucleotides) under Equus asinus (donkey). Its description in RNAcentral is "lncRNA (ENSEASG00005024886.1)". The record is from RNAcentral. Lineage: Eukaryota; Metazoa; Chordata; Mammalia; Perissodactyla; Equidae.